RNAcentral lists this ribosomal RNA (484 nucleotides) under uncultured bacterium. RNAcentral's name for it is "partial 16S ribosomal RNA". It matches the Rfam family "Bacterial small subunit ribosomal RNA", at positions 28 to 523 of the family's 1533-position model. The record is from RNAcentral.
GACGAACGCUGGCGGCGUGCUUAACACAUGCAAGUCGAACGAUGAACCCGGAGCUUGCUCCGGCGGAUUAGUGGCGAACGGGUGAGUAACACGUGAGUAACCUGCCCUUGACUCUGGGAUAACUGCGGGAAACUGUAGCUAAUACCGGAUACGACCCUCGGCGGCAUCGCCAGGGGGUGGAAAGAAUUUCGGUCAAGGAUGGACUCGCGGCCUAUCAGCUAGUUGGUGAGGUAACGGCUCACCAAGGCGACGACGGGUAGCCGGCCUGAGAGGGUGGCCGGCCACACUGGGACUGAGACACGGCCCAGACUCCUACGGGAGGCAGCAGUGGGGAAUAUUGCACAAUGGGCGCAAGCCUGAUGCAGCAACGCCGCGCGAGGGAUGACGGCCUUCGGGUUGUAAACCUCUUUUAGUAGGGAAGAAGCGAAAGUGACGGUACCUGCAGAAAAAGCACCGGCUAACUACGUGCCAGCAGCCGCCGUAA